Molecule: small nucleolar RNA, 228 nt
Filed under: Carlito syrichta (Philippine tarsier)
Lineage: Eukaryota; Metazoa; Chordata; Mammalia; Primates; Tarsiidae
Source: RNAcentral
ACGUCUCACUAUACUAUUAUAGUGGCUUGCUCUUUUCUCAGUGAUUCCCCCACCAGUAGUCUGAGGAUCGUUUUAGCUUUUAAACUUACAUUUAAAAGUCAGAGUUGGUGGCCUUGCCUUUGUGUUUGCGGCUGCCCCCAGGUCCUGGCAGCAGCCUAGGGGGAGGCCUACAGGGGGUCCUGGAAUAGGGCAGGCAUAAGCCACCUGGGCGCAACCUUAGGCCUGACG